CUGAGCUGACGACAGCCGCAGAAACCAGGCCGCUGCAACUGUUUAUUAAAAACAUAGCACUCUGCAAACACGAAAGUGGACGUAUAGGGUGUGAUGCCUGCCCGGUGCUGGAAGGUUAAUUGAUGGGGUUAGCGUAAGCGAAGCUCUUGAUCGAAGCCCCAGUAAACGGCGGCCGUAACUAUAACGGUCCUAAGGUAGCGAAAUUCCUUGUCGGGUAAGUUCCGACCUGCACGAAUGGCAUAAUGAUGGCGGCGCUGUCUCCAGCAGAGGCUCAGUGAAAUCGAAAUCGCUGUGAAGAUGCAGUGUACCCGCGGCUAGACGGAAAGACCCCGUGAACCUUUACUGCAGCUUGACACUGAACUUUGACCUUACUUGUGUAGGAUAGGUGGGAGGCUUUGAAGUUGGAACGCUAGUUCCAAUGGAGCCGUCCUUGAAAUACCACCCUGGUAAUGUUGAGGUUCUAACUCUGUCCCGUUAUCCGGGACGAGGACCGUGUCUGGUGGGUAGUUUGACUGGGGCGGUCUCCUCCUAAAGAGUAACGGAGGAGUACGAAGGUGCGCUCAGCGUGGUCGGAAAUCACGCGUAGAGUAUAAAGGCAAAAGCGCGCUUAACUGCGAGACCCACAAGUCGAGCAGGUACGAAAGUAGGUCUUAGUGAUCCGGUGGUUCUGUAUGGAAGGGCCAUCGCUCAACGGAUAAAAGGUACUCUGGGGAUAACAGGCUGAUACCGCCCAAGAGUUCAUAUCGACGGCGGUGUUUGGCACCUCGAUGUCGGCUCAUCUCAUCCUGGGGCUGAAGCAGGUCCCAAGGGUAUGGCUGUUCGCCAUUUAAAGAGGUACGCGAGCUGGGUUUAGAACGUCGUGAGACAGUUCGGUCCCUAUCUACCGUGGGCGCUGGAAAUUUGAGAGGAUCUGCUCCUAGUACGAGAGGACCAGAGUGGACGAACCUCUGGUGUACCGGUUGUGACGCCAGUCGCAUCGCCGGGUAGCUAUGUUCGGAAGGGAUAACCGCUGAAAGCAUCUAAGCGGGAAGCCUACCUCAAGAUAAGAUUUCCCUAGGAAUUUAUUCCUCUAAAGAGCCGUUCGAGACUAGGACGUUGAUAGGUUGGAUGUGGAAGCAUAGUGAUAUGUGAAGCUGACCAAUACUAAUUGCUCGUGAGGCUUGACUA
RNAcentral lists this ribosomal RNA (1167 nucleotides) under Acinetobacter sp. 1475718. RNAcentral's name for it is "bacterial LSU rRNA". It matches the Rfam family "Bacterial large subunit ribosomal RNA", at positions 1762 to 2925 of the family's 2925-position model. The record is from RNAcentral. Lineage: Bacteria; Pseudomonadati; Pseudomonadota; Gammaproteobacteria; Moraxellales; Moraxellaceae.